This 800-nucleotide ribosomal RNA is filed under the name uncultured Flavobacterium sp. RNAcentral's name for it is "bacterial SSU rRNA". It matches the Rfam family "Bacterial small subunit ribosomal RNA", at positions 8 to 811 of the family's 1533-position model. The record is from RNAcentral. Lineage: Bacteria; Pseudomonadati; Bacteroidota; Flavobacteriia; Flavobacteriales; Flavobacteriaceae.
AGAGUUUGAUCAUGGCUCAGGAUGAACGCUAGCGGCAGGCUUAACACAUGCAAGUCGAGGGGUAGGGUAGCAAUACCUGAGACCGGCGCACGGGUGCGUAACGCGUAUGCAAUCUACCUUGUACAGGGGGAUAGCCCAGAGAAAUUUGGAUUAAUACCCCAUAGUAUUUUCAAAUGGCAUCAUUUGAUUAUUAAAGUUCCAACGGUACAAGAUGAGCAUACGUCCCAUUAGCUAGUUGGUGUGGUAACGGCAUACCAAGGCUACGAUGGGUAGGGGUCCUGAGAGGGAGAUCCCCCACACUGGUACUGAGACACGGACCAGACUCCUACGGGAGGCAGCAGUGAGGAAUAUUGGUCAAUGGGCGCAAGCCUGAACCAGCCAUGCCGCGUGCAGGAUGAAGCAUCUAUGGUGUGUAAACUGCUUUUGUACAGGAAGAAACACUACCUCGUGAGGUAGCUUGACGGUACUGUGAGAAUAAGGAUCGGCUAACUCCGUGCCAGCAGCCGCGGUAAUACGGAGGAUCCAAGCGUUAUCCGGAAUCAUUGGGUUUAAAGGGUCCGUAGGCGGUUUAAUAAGUCAGUGGUGAAAGCCCAUCGCUCAACGAUGGAACGGCCAUUGAUACUGUUAGACUUGAAUUAUUUGGAAGUAACUAGAAUAUGUAGUGUAGCGGUGAAAUGCUUAGAGAUUACAUGGAAUACCAAUUGCGAAGGCAGGUUACUACAAAUGGAUUGACGCUGAUGGACGAAAGCGUGGGUAGCGAACAGGAUUAGAUACCCUGGUAGUCCACGCCGUAAACGAUG